GACGAACGCUGGCGGCGCGCUUAACACAUGCAAGUCGAACGGAAAGGCCCUGCUUCUGUGGGGUGCUCGAGUGGCGAACGGGUGACUAACACGUGCGUAACCUGCCCUUGCCUUUGGGCUAACUCCAGGAAACUGGGGCUAAUACCGGAUCGGCCCUCCUGCUGCAUUGUGGGGGUUGGACAGUUUCGGCGGUUGGGUAUGGACUCGCGGCUUAUCAGCUUGUUGGUGGGGUAGUGGCUUACCAAGGCUCUGACGGGUAGCCGGCCUGCGAGGGGGACCGGCCACAUUGGGACGGAGAUACGGCCCAGCCGGCUACGGGAGGCAGCAGUGGGGAAGAUUGCACGAUGGGAGGAAGCCUGAUGCAGCAACGCCGCGUGCGGGAUGUCGGCCUUCGGGUUGUAAACCGCUUUCGCCUGUGACGAAGCGAGAGUGACGGUGAUAGGUAGAGAAACACCGGCUAACUCCGUG
Molecule: ribosomal RNA, 468 nt
Filed under: uncultured bacterium
Lineage: Bacteria
Description: partial 16S ribosomal RNA
Rfam family: Bacterial small subunit ribosomal RNA
Source: RNAcentral